UGCACUUAAUUUAAGUAUAUGAAUCAGCAGCAUAAACUAACCAGGAUUCCAAUGUCGAAUCCUCGCCAUGCAGUUGGUCGGGGGGGGGGGGGCGGGAGGCUCCUUCUGACCAAGUCAAGCCGGCCCAUGUACAGUGUGAGUGUGAUAGCAGCCCCCUUCCCAGCCCACCCCCACUCUCCCAACUUGUGUCUUCUCAAAGUUGGGUUGCUUGACAAUGCAGGCCAAAGUGGGUCUUAAACUGCAUCUAAGGCUAAGUACCAUUACUAAACCAAUAGUCAACAAGUACCAUAGGAGAAAGUUGGAAAGAACUUUGAAGAUAGAGUUCAAGAGGGCAUUAAAACAAUGAGAGGUAAAUGGGUGGGGUCUGAGCAGUCCACACUGGCAGCACAAAUCUGGACUUGCUGGUGGUCUCAGUGAAUCCUUCCCACUCCUGGCCUCUCCACCUGUGUGUUUUCCUCCUCCCCACAUCCAGACCUCAUCAUCCCCACCCCCUCCAGGG
Non-coding RNA from Rattus norvegicus (Norway rat), 499 nucleotides. Lineage: Eukaryota; Metazoa; Chordata; Mammalia; Rodentia; Muridae. The record is from Rfam.